UACAGAGGGUGCGAGCGUUGUCCGGAAUCACUGGGCGUAAAGGGCGCGUAGGCGGCUUGAUAAGGUUGCGGUGAAAGCCGGGCUCGAACCCGGGUCGCCGUGGCAACUGUCGAGCUGGAGCACUGGUAGAGGCAGGUGGAAUUCCGGGUGUAGGCGGUAGGAAUGCGUAGAGAUCCGGAAGAACACCGGUGGCGAAGGCGGC
Molecule: ribosomal RNA, 202 nt
Filed under: uncultured bacterium
Lineage: Bacteria
Description: partial 16S ribosomal RNA
Rfam family: Bacterial small subunit ribosomal RNA
Source: RNAcentral